RNAcentral lists this ribosomal RNA (510 nucleotides) under uncultured bacterium. Its description in RNAcentral is "bacterial SSU rRNA". It matches the Rfam family "Bacterial small subunit ribosomal RNA", at positions 15 to 518 of the family's 1533-position model. The record is from RNAcentral.
GAUCAUGGCUCAGGAUGAACGCUAGCGACAGGCUUAACACAUGCAAGUCGAGGGGCAGCAUAAAAGUAGCAAUACUUGGUGGCGACCGGCGCACGGGUGAGUAACGCGUAUGCAACCUACCUAUCAGAGGGGAAUAACCCGGCGAAAGUCGGACUAAUACCGCAUAAAACAGGGGCACCGCAUGGCGAUAUUUGUUAAAGAAAUUCGCUGAUAGAUGGGCAUGCGUUCCAUUAGGUAGUUGGUGAGGUAACGGCUCACCAAGCCGACGAUGGAUAGGGGAACUGAGAGGUUGGUCCCCCACACUGGUACUGGGACACGGACCAGACUCCUACGGGAGGCAGCAGUGAGGAAUAUUGGUCAAUGGGCGGGAGCCUGAACCAGCCAAGUCGCGUGAAGGAAGAAGGAUCUAUGGUUCGUAAACUUCUUUUGCAGGGGAAUAAAGUGCAGGACGUGUCCUGUUUUGUAUGUACCCUGAGAAUAAGGAUCGGCUAACUCCGUGCCAGCCGCCGC